GACGAACGCUGGCGGCGUGCCUAAUACAUGCAAGUCGAACGCAUUUUCUUUCACCGUAGCUUGCUACACCGAAAGAAAGUGAGUGGCGAACGGGUGAGUAACACGUGGGUAACCUGCCCAUCAGCGGGGGAUAACACUUGGAAACAGGUGCUAAUACCGCAUAAUUCCAUUUACCGCAUGGUAGAUGGAUGAAAGGCGCUUUUGCGUCACUGAUGGAUGGACCCGCGGUGCAUUAGCUAGUUGGUGGGGUAACGGCCUACCAAGGCUGCGAUGCAUAGCCGACCUGAGAGGGUGAUCGGCCACACUGGGACUGAGACACGGCCCAGACUCCUACGGGAGGCAGCAGUAGGGAAUCUUCGGCAAUGGACGCAAGUCUGACCGAGUAACGCCGCGUGAGUGAAGAAGGUUUUCGGAUUGUAAAACUCUGUUGUUAGAGAAGAACAAGGAUGAGAGUGGAAAGUUCAUCCCUUGACGGUAUCUAACCAGAAAGCCACGGCUAACUACGUG
RNAcentral lists this ribosomal RNA (507 nucleotides) under uncultured bacterium. Its description in RNAcentral is "partial 16S ribosomal RNA". It matches the Rfam family "Bacterial small subunit ribosomal RNA", at positions 28 to 507 of the family's 1533-position model. The record is from RNAcentral.